This 848-nucleotide ribosomal RNA is filed under the name Gammarus benignus. RNAcentral describes it as "partial 16S ribosomal RNA". Lineage: Eukaryota; Metazoa; Arthropoda; Malacostraca; Amphipoda; Gammaridae. The record is from RNAcentral.
AGAAUAAGAAAAUUUUAACAGUGUACCUUUUGUAUCAGGGAAAUUUAAAAAUAUAGUAAAAAUAUAAUCGAUUUUAUCAUAUCUUUUUUAAUUGCUGGUAGUUGAAUUUAAUUGUUGUAGAAAUAAAGAGGUGAAAAGUGUACGGUGGUAAUGGUAUCUAAUUGUUUUUGGGUUUAAGGGUUAAGCUUUAAUAAUUUUAUGUUAAAGUCUAAUUAGGAAAACUAGGCUUUAAAUUAGCUAUGUUAAUAUAUUGUUUUAAAUAAUCUUAUAAUUACCUAUGUAUGUAAAAUUACUGACACUAUAGUUAUAAUUAUUAUUUAAUAAAAAUAAUGAAUUUAUUGAACAACAAAAGAAACUUAAAAAAAACUAAUAAUAAGUUGGAUAGUUUAUCAAAAACAUUUCUAUUUGUUAAAUAAAAGGUAAGGCCUGCCCGGUGUUAUUUAACGGCUGCGGUAUUUUGACUGUGCAAAGGUAGCAUAAUCAUUUGUUUCUUAAUUGGGAGCUGGAAUGAAAGGUUAAACUAUUUUGUUAAGUUUGUAAAGUUAAACCGAAGAUUUAAGUAAAGGUAAGAAUUCUUUUAUUUUCUAGGGGACGAUAAGACCCUAGAAGCUUAACAAAAAUAUUUAAUGUUAGUUAUAAACUAUAAUUUGUUUAACUGGGGCGGUAUUAGUGUAUAAACUACUGUAUAAUUGACGGGUCCUGUAUAUACAGAUAAAACGGAUAAGUUACUCUAGGGAUAACAGUACAAUAUAUUUGGAGAGAUCUUAUCGAUAAGGAUGUUUGUAACCUCGAUGUUGAAUUAAAAUGUCUAUGUAGAGCAAAAAACACAAAAGAAGGUUUGUUCAACC